This 1372-nucleotide ribosomal RNA is filed under the name metagenome. RNAcentral's name for it is "bacterial SSU rRNA". It matches the Rfam family "Bacterial small subunit ribosomal RNA". The record is from RNAcentral.
GGCUCAGGAUGAACGCUGGCGGCGUGCUUAACACAUGCAAGUCGAACGCACCUUCGGGUGAGUGGCGGACGGGUGAGUAACGCGUGGGAAUCUGCCCUCAGGAGGGGGAUAACGGCUGGAAACGGCCGCUAAUACCCCAUAUGCCGAGAGGUGAAACGAAUUUCGCCUGAGGAUGAGCCCGCGUCUGAUUAGCUAGUUGGUGGGGUAAUGGCCCACCAAGGCGACGAUCAGUAGCUGGUCUGAGAGGAUGAUCAGCCACACUGGGACUGAGACACGGCCCAGACUCCUACGGGAGGCAGCAGUGGGGAAUUUUCCGCAAUGGGCGAAAGCCUGACGGAGCAACGCCGCGUGAGGGAUGAAGGCCUCUGGGCUGUAAACCUCUUUUCUCAAGGAAGAAGACAUGACGGUACUUGAGGAAUAAGCCACGGCUAAUUCCGUGCCAGCAGCCGCGGUAAUACGGGAGUGGCAAGCGUUAUCCGGAAUUAUUGGGCGUAAAGCGUCCGCAGGCGGCCCUGUAAGUCUGUCGUUAAAGCGUGGAGCUUAACUCCAUUUAAGCGAUGGAAACUACAGGGCUUGAGUGUGGUAGGGGCAGAGGGAAUUCCCGGUGUAGCGGUGAAAUGCGUAGAUAUCGGGAAGAACACCAGUGGCGAAGGCGCUCUGCUGGGCCAUAACUGACGCUCAUGGACGAAAGCCAGGGGAGCGAAAGGGAUUAGAUACCCCUGUAGUCCUGGCCGUAAACGAUGAACACUAGGUGUCGGGGGAAUCGACCCCCUCGGUGUCGUAGCCAACGCGUUAAGUGUUCCGCCUGGGGAGUACGCACGCAAGUGUGAAACUCAAAGGAAUUGACGGGGGCCCGCACAAGCGGUGGAGUAUGUGGUUUAAUUCGAUGCAACGCGAAGAACCUUACCAGGGUUUGACAUCCUGCGAAUCCCUUGGAAACUUGGGAGUGCCUUCGGGAGCGCAGAGACAGGUGGUGCAUGGCUGUCGUCAGCUCGUGUCGUGAGAUGUUGGGUUAGGUCCCGCAACGAGCGCAACCCACGUCUUUAGUUGCCAGCAUUCAGUUGGGCACUCUAGAGAGACCGCCGGUGAUAAACCGGAGGAAGGUGUGGAUGACGUCAAGUCAUCAUGCCCCUUACAUCCUGGGCUACACACGUACUACAAUGCUACGGACAAAGGGCAGCAAGCUCGCGAGAGUUAGCAAAUCCCAUAAACCGUGGCUCAGUUCAGAUCGUAGGCUGCAACUCGCCUACGUGAAGGAGGAAUCGCUAGUAAUCGCAGGUCAGCAUACUGCGGUGAAUACGUUCCCGGGCCUUGUACACACCGCCCGUCACACCAUGGAAGUUGGCCAUGCCCGAAGUCGUUACUCCAACCC